CCUACGGGAGGCAGCAGUGGGGAAUUUUGGACAAUGGGGGCAACCCUGAUCCAGCAAUGCCGCGUGAGUGAAGAAGGCCUUCGGGUUGUAAAGCUCUUUUGUCAGGGAAGAAACAGCAGCUAUAACACAGACUGCGAAUGACGGUACCUGAAGAAUAAGCACCGGCUAACUACGUGCCAGCAGCCGCGGUAAUACGUAGGGUGCGAGCGUUAAUCGGAAUUACUGGGCGUAAAGCGUGCGCAGGCGGUUAUACAAGACAGGCGUGAAAUCCCCGGGCUUAACCUGGGAAUGGCGUCUGUGACUGUAUAGCUAGAGUGUGUCAGAGGGGGGUGGAAUUCCACGUGUAGCAGUGAAAUGCGUAGAUAUGUGGAGGAACACCAAUGGCGAAGGCAGCCCCCUGGGAUAACACUGACGCUCAUGCACGAAAGCGUGGGGAGCAAACAGGAUUAGAUACCCUGGUAGUCCACGCCCUAAACGAUGCUGACUAGUUGUUGGGAAUUUACAUUCUCAGUAACGUAGCUAACGCGUGAAGUCAGCCGCCUGGGGAGUCGGUCGCAGAUUAAACUUAAGGAAUUGACCGGUNUGAGACGAGCGAGACGACGACGAGGGAGGAGG
Molecule: ribosomal RNA, 615 nt
Filed under: uncultured bacterium
Lineage: Bacteria
Description: bacterial SSU rRNA
Rfam family: Bacterial small subunit ribosomal RNA
Source: RNAcentral